Molecule: long non-coding RNA, 272 nt
Filed under: Mytilus galloprovincialis (Mediterranean mussel)
Lineage: Eukaryota; Metazoa; Mollusca; Bivalvia; Mytilida; Mytilidae
Source: RNAcentral
CUUUGAUAUGCCGAAUCUAACUGUGUAUGUAGAUUCUUAAUUUUUGGUCCGGUUUUCAAAUUGGUCUACAUUUAGGUCCAAAGGGUCCAAAAUUAAACUUGGUUUGAUUUUAACAAAAAUUGAAUCCUUGGGGUUCUUUAGUUUGCUGAAUCUAAAAAUGUACUUAGAUUUUUGAUUAUUGGCCCAGUUUCUAGCUGGUCCAAAUCAGGGCCCAAAAUUAAACAUUGUUUGAUUUCAUCAAAAAUUGAAUAAUUGAGGUUCUUUGAUAUGCC